GCGGGAGUGGCGGAAUGGUAGACGCGCUGGUCUCAAACACCAGUGACUUCACGGUCGUGAGGGUUCGAGUCCCUCCUCCCGCACCA
This 86-nucleotide transfer RNA is filed under the name Bacteroidota bacterium. RNAcentral describes it as "Bacteroidetes bacterium tRNA-Leu". It matches the Rfam family "tRNA". From Rfam's summary of the family: Transfer RNA (tRNA) molecules are approximately 80 nucleotides in length. Their secondary structure includes four short double-helical elements and three loops (D, anti-codon, and T loops). Further hydrogen bonds mediate the characteristic L-shaped molecular structure. tRNAs have two regions of fundamental functional importance: the anti-codon, which is responsible for specific mRNA codon recognition, and the 3' end, to which the tRNAs corresponding amino acid is attached (by aminoacyl-tRNA synthetases). tRNAs cope with the degeneracy of the genetic code in two manners: having more than one tRNA (with a specific anti-codon) for a particular amino acid; and 'wobble' base-pairing, i.e. permitting non-standard base-pairing at the 3rd anti-codon position. The record is from RNAcentral. RNAcentral also lists the same sequence under 3 other names. Lineage: Bacteria; Pseudomonadati; Bacteroidota.